This 253-nucleotide ribosomal RNA is filed under the name uncultured bacterium. Its description in RNAcentral is "partial 16S ribosomal RNA". It matches the Rfam family "Bacterial small subunit ribosomal RNA", at positions 524 to 776 of the family's 1533-position model. The record is from RNAcentral.
UACAGAGGGGGCAAGCGUUGUUCGGAAUUACUGGGCGUAAAGGGCGCGUAGGCGGCCUGCUAAGUCGAACGUGAAAUCCCUGGGCUCAACCCAGGAACUGCGUCCGAUACUGGUUGGCUUGAAUCCGGGAGAGGGAUGCGGAAUUCCAGGUGUAGCGGUGAAAUGCGUAGAUAUGGGGAGGAACACCGGUGGCGAAGGCGGCCACCUGGACGGUAACUGACGCUGAGACGCGAAAGCGUGGGGAGCAAACAGG